ACGAGCGCUGGCGGCGCGCUUAACACAUGCAAGUCGAACGGAAAGGCCUGCUUUCCCUUGUGGAUUGCGGGUACUCGAGUGGCGAACGGGUGAGUAACACGUGAGUGAUCUGCCCCCAACUUGGGUAUAAGCCUGGGAAACUGGGUCUAAUUCCCGAUAGGACUGCAGGGUGGUGCCUGUGGUGGAAAACGAUUUUCUAGUGGUUGGGGAUGAGCUCGCGGCCUAUCAGCUUGUUGGUGGGGUAAUGGCCUACCAAGGCGGCGACGGGUAGCCGGCCUGAGAGGGUGGACGGCCACAUUGGGACUGAGAUACGGCCCAGACUCCUACGGGAGGCAGCAGUGGGGAAUAUUGCACAAUGGGCGGAAGCCUGAUGCAGCGACGCCGCGUGGGGGAUGACGGCCUUCGGGUUGUAAACUCCUUUCGACCGCGAGGAAGCCACCUGGUUGGAAGGGUGGUGACGGUAGUGGUAGAAGAAGCACCGGCUAACUACGUG
This 493-nucleotide ribosomal RNA is filed under the name uncultured bacterium. RNAcentral's name for it is "partial 16S ribosomal RNA". It matches the Rfam family "Bacterial small subunit ribosomal RNA", at positions 29 to 507 of the family's 1533-position model. The record is from RNAcentral.